GGCAACAUAGAACGUAAGAACAAAGAACGUAAAUAAAGCACCACUGUGCGACAAUGCACAGAUAUGGAAAUUAGUUGCACCUUUUUGCAGCUACGUGGCGAUAGUGUUUCGAGAUCUAUAAAUCGAUCAAAUUUUUAUUUCGAAAAAGGAUCGACGAAAAUAACCUAAUAUUUAUGAAUGAAAGUGUACAUAUCACAACCAGGUUAUGUAGAGAAAUAUGUUUAAGCGAUCGAUACCUGUAUCGUUUAAUGACAAUUAAUUAAUCGAUUCAGAUAAUCUUCAUUAAGACAUCGAUAAGAUAAGCUUUGGUAAGAUUUCGAUAAGCUAUGUCUUUCUCUGGACUUUGUUGUGAAAGGAAAUAUUUAAUUGACUCGUAUAAAGGAAUUAAGUUAAUUUAAAUAUACUUUGUGUCAUAACAAUUAAUUAAUUAAUCGAUAUAAGCUCUAUUAAGUCUUCAAUAAGAUGUUCUCGUGAAAAGAAAUACUUAAUCACGCCAUGUAAAGGCAUAAGACCCAUAGAAGCAUAAAGGCACGAUGAACCGAGAGCGUGGAGUAGAAGUCGGAGAUUAACGACGCGAAGGAAAAGCCGUGUUUCCAAAUGACUGCGUUGCAACGGGGAUUUACUACAUUUGCUGCAUCUAUAAUUAUAGGUAAUAAAGUCAGAGACGUGGAAACCAGAGCAGCAUCGGACUGUUGCACGAAAAUGUUCGUUAUCGAGGCGGCUGCAAAAAUUGCUUCCAGAAACUCGUGGCUGCGCCUCUUUCCGAGUAUAAACCUACCGAUUUCUCGCACCAUUUUAAUACCAACGCUUCCUAAUAGGAGAGCUCGCGUUAUUAUCGAAAGUCAAACUUUCUCGAGCGUCUUUACUUGUUUCGUUGAAUAGAAACUACGUAACAGGGAAUUCUUAAUUGAAUUAAAAAUUAAAAUUUCCCGCGUCAUCAAUUAGCGUAAAAUGAAAGUCUGUGGCUCUUCCAUCUGAUCCUGAUUAUUGCUUCUUCUUAUCUUUGCUAAAUAUAGUUUAUGCUCGUGCAAACUAAUGCAAUUAGCUUCGCUCUUUGAAUGACUCGCUUCUUGAGGAUGACAUAUAAAUAAUAACAACUUCUAGGGUGAACUGAAGAAAUGGUGUUCGUGAAAAAUCAGAAUUUAAUUGUAUUGUUUAUAAAAUUCUUCUGACAAUACGGAAUAUAUGGAUUAUUUAUAAGCCACGGUUUCGAACGAGAUAACAAUCAAAAGAUAAUAAUCUAUUGGUUAUAACCACUAUUAGUAUAGCCAUUGUUAGACAUAAAUAUCCAACGAUCUGCUUUCCAAAUUUAUCUCGCUGUCACGAAGAUCUCAACGGAGGAAUAAAAAUUAUUGUAAAAUACGAAAAUAGAGGAGAAUUCAAAACAUCAAAAUUUCCGAUUAUAUCCAUUCAUUGGUCUCCAAUGGCAUAGCUCAUGAUUAUUCGAGCGGUGCUAGAAAAUGUCACGAACAUAUGGGGAACGAUUAUUUAGAAGGAACGACACAAUGAAAGAAGUCAGCUUAUUUUUUAUUCACCAUCCCCACAGGGACAAUUCUCUGUCGAUAUUUAUCGAGCAUGUUUCUUACGACGUAGAAAAAGUCACGAUUAAAAUUAUUGUUCUUAGAAAAGGAAUUCCCUGACGGGGAAGCAGAUAAAUGUUUUUGCAAGGGUCUCCACGGGAACCCGCGCGACCGUGUAAAAUUUUUAUUUUAAUCGUUUGUUUGUAGAUAAUUCCAACAUCGAAGAACACCGUCAUCGCGUGGCUUUUAUUUAUUAAUUAUUUAUUAAUAAUUCCACCGGGAGCAUCUUGUCUAAUUGACGCGAUAAUUAUUCAUACCGGUUGAAUUGUGUGAAAUUAUGAAAUUAUGCGAAACAUGAUCAUUUUUACGCAAUUAUUAAGAACUUUUUAUUCGUAAUAGUUUGACAAAGUACGAUGUAUAUAGGAUGAUUUGUUAAACGUUUUGAACUCUAGUACAUAUGAUCUUUGUUUUUCUUUCUUUUAAACGGUUUCCCAAUUUUGAGACGAAUCUUCAUUUAAUAUAUAGUUAAUUACAGCUUUUUCAUAUUAUUUUUUUCGCAGGUAGAAAAUUUCUUAACAGAAAAAUUGAGUUGGACUAAAGAUGGACCAAGAUUUCGUAUUAUUAUUUAAUUUAAAAAUAUCCAAGAGCAAAAAAUAUAGAAAGGUAAUAUAUUAUAUUCAAUAUUAAUCUCAUGUCAUCUUUUUCUUUUAUCAUAAUUGUUUCCUCUGAGGUCAAUCCAUCCGCAAGGGUUUGUGAUGAAAGCGUGUCGCGCUCGUGCAAACGAUUAAUUCUAUUCCCAGUGGUAUGAAACUUGCGGUGAGCUCCAUUAUUACAGCAAACAUAGUAUUUUCCACGGUGGAAAAUCCCUUAGGAGGUAUUUUUCACGGAACUAUGUAGGUACCAGAAACAUUAAUAAUUCAGAGAAAGCCAUCGUCGACUGCAACAUUUUUAACUAGGCUUUUAAAACGCUACUUGUAUCUCAAUAUUUUUCACGUUCAUAUUUUUCUAUAAAAAUUUGAUAAAAUUUGUCUCAGAAAUUAUAUUAUUCUAUCCUUACAGAUAAUUCAAUAAAUUCAAUAAUUAGAUCUAUUUAAAUUGCAUCGAGACUGCGAAUAGAAAUCUUGUAUGCAAAUUACUAUGAGUAGGUGGUCUUCUCAUUUCGUAUUCGAUAAUUCGAAGAAUGACAAACAAAUCAUUAGUGAAAUAUUCGAUAUCGUCAGACUAGCGAUGUUUCAGUGAAUCGACCAAAUUUCACUUUUCAGAGAGCCUUAAUUUCCAUAAAAGGAAAUUCUGAAGCUUGACAUCGAUUUCAAGGUGCAUUUCUCAAAGAUGGGGCUUCGGAAACCCUUGAAUAUACCUGUCUAAUGAAAUGUAACAGAAAUCUACACAAUAUUAGGGUGAAAAUCAUGAGGUUAACGUGGUUGUUUUGUUAUGCUAAUAUAACGUGGCUUGACAUCGUGUUUCAAUUGAUUUUUCUUCGCGGACUGAGGAUAUUAUCGAAUAAUAAGAUCAAUAUCAGGCAAUGAUUAUUUCGAUUUGUAUCCACUGCAUGCCAUCCUGUGCAACGUAGCAAAUUGGAAAAGCACUUUACUAGAAAAUUCGUGGAAAGCAUCGAGCUAGGAUUGAAAAUCAAUGCGCUGGUUUAUUGCUCACUCCAAUUUCGAUGCGUCUUCUUCGAGGAAUCCAAUGAUCUUUGUAAUAACCACGGAGUCUGUUCUCGCGAAAUUCGUGGUUUUCCCUGUCAUGACCAUACUAGGACUAUGCUCGAACUUAUCUUGGUACCAUAACCGAGGUUUAUGCGCCUCCGUUACCUCGCCAGCUCCCGCAUUCGUGAUACUUGCUCGCUGACUGCGCUUCAUAACAGAGACGAUGCGUUUUACUAUUAUUGGUUCUAUUUUUUGCUUUUCCUCUCUUCUUUUUUAAACUAUCAAGUUCCAAGAACAACUAAAAAAUAGUCUCGUUAUCGUUAACAUAUCAAUAUUCGUUACAGCAAUACUUAUGUACAAUUUGAUCUCGAUGUAAUCUGUAUGUGGAUAUUUUUUGGAAAUUUAGACAGUUUCUAAAAUCGUUGGAACCAUAUAUAGAGUAGAUAGAGAAAGAUGAGAAAAUGAAUACAGCGUUUUUCAACUUUUACCUAAAAUAUUGAAAUAUGUAAGCGUACUUUGUAUUCU
Molecule: long non-coding RNA, 3691 nt
Organism: Bombus impatiens (common eastern bumble bee)
Lineage: Eukaryota; Metazoa; Arthropoda; Insecta; Hymenoptera; Apidae
Exons: 5
Source: RefSeq, a predicted model, not a curated record